Molecule: ribosomal RNA, 253 nt
Filed under: uncultured bacterium
Lineage: Bacteria
Description: partial 16S ribosomal RNA
Rfam family: Bacterial small subunit ribosomal RNA
Source: RNAcentral
UACGGAGGGGGCGAGCGUUAUUCGGAAUUAUUGGGCGUAAAGGGCGCGUAGGCGGCCCGGUAAGUCAAAGGUGAAAUCCCUCGGCUCAACUGAGGAAUUGCCUUUGAAACUGUCGGGCUUGAGGCCGGGAGGGGGUAGCGGAAUUCCCAGUGUAGCGGUGAAAUGCGUAGAUACUGGGAGGAACACCAGUGGCGAAGGCGGCUACCUGGACCGGUUCUGACGCUGAUGCGCGAAAGCGUGGGUAGCAAACAGG